RNAcentral lists this ribosomal RNA (253 nucleotides) under uncultured bacterium. Its description in RNAcentral is "partial 16S ribosomal RNA". It matches the Rfam family "Bacterial small subunit ribosomal RNA", at positions 524 to 776 of the family's 1533-position model. The record is from RNAcentral.
UACGGAGGAUGCGAGCGUUAUCCGGAUUUAUUGGGUUUAAAGGGUGCGUAGGCGGAUCGGUAAGUCGGCGGUGAAAUACCAUGGCUCAACUAUGGAAUUGCCGUUGAUACUGUCGGUCUUGAAUAUGGUCAAGGUAGGCGGAAUGUGUAAUGUAGCGGUGAAAUGCUUAGAUAUUACACAGAACACCGAUUGCGAAGGCAGCUUGCUGGGCCAGAAUUGACGCUGAGGCACGAAAGCGUGGGGAUCGAACAGG